CCUAUGAACAAUUUAAAUGGCCGCAGUACUUUGACUGUGCAAAGGUAGCAUAAUCACUUGCUCCUUAAUUAGGAGCUGGAAUGAAGGGGGCGACGAAAUCUAGACUAUUUGUGAAAUAAUAUAAAUUGACAUUGUGGUCAAAAGGCCACAAUAUAUCAAAGGGACGAUAAGACCCUAUAAAACUUUACCCUUAGACCUAGAUUUGCUUAGAUAUAGUCUGCUAUAAGGGUUGAGCUGGGGCGGUAUUUAUAUAAACAAUCUUAUAGUAAAUAUUUUACAUAAAUUUAAAGAACUCUAUUAGGAAAUUUAGAAUAAGUUACUUUAGGGAUAACAGCAUAAUUCUCCCAGAGAGUACUAAUUGGCGGGAGAGCUUAUGACCUCGAUGUUGAAUUGGGGCCCCUUAUAUAAGUAGAAAUAUAUGUAGGUAGUCUGUUCGACUAUUGCACCCCC
This 450-nucleotide ribosomal RNA is filed under the name Proasellus coxalis. RNAcentral's name for it is "partial 16S ribosomal RNA". It matches the Rfam family "Archaeal large subunit ribosomal RNA", at positions 1989 to 2666 of the family's 2987-position model. Lineage: Eukaryota; Metazoa; Arthropoda; Malacostraca; Isopoda; Asellidae. The record is from RNAcentral.